This 518-nucleotide ribosomal RNA is filed under the name uncultured bacterium. RNAcentral's name for it is "bacterial SSU rRNA". It matches the Rfam family "Bacterial small subunit ribosomal RNA", at positions 1 to 518 of the family's 1533-position model. The record is from RNAcentral.
AGUCCAGAGAGUUUGAUUCUGGCUCAGGAUGAACGUUGGCGGCGUGCCUAACACAUGCAAGUCGAACGGGUCUUCUGGACCGGAGGCUUCGGGCCAAAGGGACUUAAGGCUAGUGGCGGACGGGUGAGUAACGCGUGGAGAACCUGGCCCUGUACUGGGGGAUAACAGUGAGAAAUCACUGCUAAUACCGCAUAAGCGCACGAGCACCGCAUGGUGCCGUGUGAAAAACUCCGGUGGUACAGGAUGGCUCCGCGUUGGAUUAGCCAGUUGGCGGGUAACGGCCCACCAAAGCGACGAUCCAUAGCCGGCCUGAGAGGGUGAACGGCCACAUUGGGACUGAGACACGGCCCAGACUCCUACGGGAGGCAGCAGGUGGGAAUAUUGCACAAUGGGGGAACCCUGAUGCAGCCGACGCCGCGUGAAGGAUGAAGUAUCUCGGUAUGUAAACUUCUAUCAGCAGGGAAGAUGAUGACGGUACCUGACUAAGAAGCCCCGGCUAACUACGUGCCAGCAGCGGC